UACGAGGGGUGCAAGCGUUGCUCGGAAUUAUUGGGCGUAAAGGGUAGGUAGGUGGUCUCAUUUGUCUGGGGUGAAAGCCUUGAGCUUAACUCAAGAAGUGCCCCGGAAACGGUGAGACUCGAGUCCUGGAGAGGGUCGUGGAAUUCCCGGUGUAGAGGUGAAAUUCGUAGAUAUUCGGAGGAACACCAGUGGCGAAGGCGGCUCACUGGUCCGGUACUGACGCUGAGGUGCGAAAGCGUGGGGAGCGAACAGG
This 253-nucleotide ribosomal RNA is filed under the name uncultured bacterium. Its description in RNAcentral is "partial 16S ribosomal RNA". It matches the Rfam family "Bacterial small subunit ribosomal RNA", at positions 524 to 776 of the family's 1533-position model. The record is from RNAcentral.